Ictalurus punctatus (channel catfish) is the source of this 1632-nucleotide long non-coding RNA. The record is from Ensembl. NCBI's taxonomy places the organism in Eukaryota, Metazoa, Chordata, Actinopteri, Siluriformes, Ictaluridae.
GAGGAAUUUUGUUCUGAACGUGGCGGAAUGAGGAUUUUGGAGAGCUUGUAAUGACUGGAAAGGCUGGGGGGUAGGGGAGAGGGGCAUAGAUGAUAUGUCAUCUUUGGGGAAUCUCUGGAAGAAGCAUUAUGGGUGGAAAUAAGAGAGGAUGUGUAGCAGAAGUUAGAAAGAGCAGCAUUUUCUCACCUCAAAUUGUGUGUUAUGGAGGUAAAAUAGUCACCUGGGCUUUUUCAACUCGGUCUUCAACUGCUUGUGCUCAGCGUAGACUCGGAUUCCUGUUCCUGGCUGACGGGAGAGGAACCCAGUGUGGUCUCUUGCUUCUGUAGCUCAUCCGCCACAAGCUAACUGCUGCAGCAGGGAGAGGGAUGCAUAUAUAUAUAAAAUGAGGGCUGGCAAUAUGAGUGCAACUCUCAGCCCGCGUUGACACUAGCCCAAUUAUCCAGGCCUCCCAUUGUCACAGAGACAGGCAUGUUGUAGUGUGUUGGUGCCCGACCAUGCCAGUCUCGCUGUGAGGAACACAACAUCAGAGCCGAACUCAGGAUCUACAGGAUCGCACUGAAGCCUGCUGUGCUUGAUGGUCAAACUAAUCAAUGAAUAUUGACAAUGUCGCUGCGCGUUUCCUACCGAAGAGGAUUGUGGAUCCAUACUACGGCCGUGUUCUUCCUUUUACAUGUUUAAUAAGAUCGAUGUUUCUUAAUAGUAGUGGGCUGUCUUAUGUGUGUUCAGAUACGACUGAUCCUGAAGAAAUGUCUUAGGAAUGACGUGCUUGUUUUGUUUACUCAUUGUAACAUGAUGUCUUCCAUUUUUAAGCACGGCUACAGUAUUAUAAGCCGUGAUUUUACGAGUGUGAUGAGUGCCAGUGUUCAUGCUGUUUUAUAUUAGGUUAAUACUGGGUUUGAGAUCUGAAUAAGUAGUAGAAGUAGGUAUUAAAUCUCAAUUGAAAAAGGGUACAGUUCCACUUUGCUGAUGUGUUCAUGUACAUGAACAGUGAAGUUAAUGGCUUAUUAAUGUAUCUGGGUGUAAACAGAUGUAAUUGAACAUGUAUCUAAAGAGUAGUUUUCUUUGUGUGUCAUUUUGUAGAGAGGUUGGUUUUGUUGCAACAACAAUAUAUAUAAAAAAAUAAAUAACAGCAGCCAAAAAAAGAGGAAAAAUAAAGAGUUUUACCUGGAGGAUCUCUGACAAAGAUCUUCAAAACUGGUUCAAAGUUUGUCUGAUCGAUGGUCUUUCUCGCUCUCCUCAGUUAGCGAGUCUCCUUAGCGUGGGAUAAUUUUAUGUAUUUAUUUUAAACUGUAAUUUAUAUAGGAUUAAGCAGAUUAAACUAGCUGGGCUUCUUCUCCAAGAUGUAAUACUGAAUUUAUCUCAAAUGCUAUGUUAUCUGGUUUGAGGGGCAGAGUUCUGGUCCGUGGUAAGCACAUAGCAUCAGUAUAUCAUACGUCGGGUCGGCAUAUCGUCAGAAGAAAGUUCUCGUAGCAGGUUUUUGAACAUCGUCCUUUGCAACCGUUAAAUACCUCCAAUUGAAUGACCGUGUAUGCAAAUAAUACAUACAAAUAAACAUGUGCAUAUACAGUAUACAUAUGCUGGUGGUGUUCUCAGAGAAAGAAAGAGGGCACGACUUGCUGUCUUUUGAUUCAG